ACGGGAGGCAGCAGUGGGGAAUAUUGCACAAUGGGGGAAACCCUGAUGCAGCGAUGCCGCGUGGAGGAAGAAGGUUUUCGGAUUGUAAACUCCUGUCUUAAAGGACGAUAAUGACGGUACUUUAGGAGGAAGCUCCGGCUAACUACGUGCCAGCAGCCGCGGUAAUACGUAGGGAGCGAGCGUUGUCCGGAAUUACUGGGUGUAAAGGGAGCGUAGGCGGAGACGCAAGCAGUCUGUACAAUACCGGGGCCCAACCCCGGACCUGCAGACUGGACUGUGUCUCUUGGAUAGUUCAGGGGCAGGCGGAAUUCCUGGUGUAGCGGUGGAAUGCGUAGAGAUCAGGAAGAACACCGAUGGCGAAGGCAGCCUGCUGGGGACUCAUCGACGCUGAGGCUCGAAAGUGCGGGUAGCAAACAGGAUUAGAUACCCUGGUA
RNAcentral lists this ribosomal RNA (434 nucleotides) under uncultured Ruminococcus sp. RNAcentral describes it as "partial 16S ribosomal RNA". It matches the Rfam family "Bacterial small subunit ribosomal RNA", at positions 341 to 792 of the family's 1533-position model. The record is from RNAcentral. Lineage: Bacteria; Bacillati; Bacillota; Clostridia; Eubacteriales; Oscillospiraceae.